CGGGGCCCGAGUGCCGGCUUCUGCCCUGCGCGCUACACAAGUGGAGCUCCUUCUCCUCCACCUACCUUCCUGAAACUUUAAUGGGAAUACUUAUGUGAAGGCAUUGUUCAGAAGGAAGAUACUUGGGUGUAAUGAACAUUUUAGUGGAUAAGCCAAAUGACCAGCCUUCACAGUGGUCUACAGAGAGCAACUACGCUGCCCAGUACUUGUUUCUGAAGCUUGAAAGGCCUGCGAUAGUCCAGAAUAUCACAUUUGGAAAAUACGAGAAAACUCAUGUCUGCAGUUUGAAGAAAUUUAAAGUCUUUGGUGGAAUGAAUGAAGAAAACAUGACAAAGCUAUUGUCCAGUGGCUUAAAGAAUGAUUAUAACAAAGAAACAUUUACCUUGAAGCAUAAAAUUGAUGAACAGAUGUUUCCUUGUUGAUUCAUUAAAAUAGUUCCACUCUUAUCGUGGGGACCCAGCUUUAACUUUAGCAUCUGGUAUGUUGAACUUAGUGGCAUUGAUGAUCCCGAUGUAGUACAACCCUGUCUCAACUGGUAUAGUUAAGUAGUACCGUGAACAGGAAGCUAUUCGCCUUUGCCUAAAACACUUCAGACAACAUAACUAUACAGAGGCCUUUGAAUCACUGCAAAAGAAAACCAAGAUUGCCCUGGAACAUCCCAUGUUAACAGAUCUGCACGAUAAAUUGGUACUGAAGGGUGAUUUUGAUGCUUGUGAAGAAUUGAUUGAAAAAGCUGUAAAUGAUGGCUUGUUCAAUCAGUACAUCAGUCAACAGGAAUAUAAGCCACGAUGGAGUCAAAUCAUUCCCAAAAGUACCAAAGGUGAUGGAGAAGAUAACCGACCAGGAAUGAGAGGAGGCCAUCAGAUGGUUAUUGAUGUUCAAACAGAGACUGUUUAUUUGUUUGGUGGCUGGGAUGGAACACAAGAUCUUGCUGACUUCUGGGCGUACAGUGUGAAAGAGAACCAAUGGACGUGUAUCUCUAGAGACACUGAGAAAGAGAAUGCUCCUAGCGCUAGAUCAUGUCAUAAAAUGUGCAUUGACAUUCAACGAAGGCAAAUCUACACACCGGGGCGUUAUUCGGAUUCCUCUGUGAAGAACAGCAAAUCUCUGAAAAGUGAUUUCUAUCAUUAUGACAUUGACACAAACACAUGGAUGUUACUCAGUGAGGAUACUGCUGAUGGAGGACCGAAACUGGUGUUUGAUCAUCAGUUCCAAUGACAGGAUUCAUACAGAG
Molecule: non-coding RNA, 1234 nt
Organism: Delphinapterus leucas (beluga whale)
Lineage: Eukaryota; Metazoa; Chordata; Mammalia; Artiodactyla; Monodontidae
Source: RefSeq, a predicted model, not a curated record